RNAcentral lists this ribosomal RNA (400 nucleotides) under uncultured bacterium. RNAcentral's name for it is "bacterial SSU rRNA". It matches the Rfam family "Bacterial small subunit ribosomal RNA", at positions 356 to 773 of the family's 1533-position model. The record is from RNAcentral.
GGGGAAUAUUGCACAAUGGGGGAAACCCUGAUGCAGCGACGCCGCGUGAAGGAAGAAGUAUCUCGGUAUGUAAACUUCUAUCAGCAGGGAAGAAAAUGACGGUACCUGACUAAGAAGCCCCGGCUAACUACGUGCCAGCAGCCGCGGUAAUACGUAGGGGGCAAGCGUUAUCCGGAUUUACUGGGUGUAAAGGGAGCGUAGACGGAAGAGCAAGUCUGAUGUGAAAGGCUGGGGCUUAACCCCAGGACUGCAUUGGAAACUGUUGUUCUAGAGUGCCGGAGAGGUAAGCGGAAUUCCUAGUGUAGCGGUGAAAUGCGUAGAUAUUAGGAGGAACACCAGUGGCGAAGGCGGCUUACUGGACGGUAACUGACGUUGAGGCUCGAAAGCGUGGGGAGCAAAC